This 403-nucleotide ribosomal RNA is filed under the name bacterium. Its description in RNAcentral is "partial 16S ribosomal RNA". It matches the Rfam family "Bacterial small subunit ribosomal RNA", at positions 355 to 776 of the family's 1533-position model. The record is from RNAcentral.
UGGGGAAUAUUGCACAAUGGGGGAAACCCUGAUGCAGCGACGCCGCGUGAACGAAGAAGGUAUUCGUAUCGUAUAGUUCUGUCCUAUGGGAAGAUAAUGACAGUACCAUAGAAGAAAGCUCCGGCUAAAUACGUGCCAGCAGCCGCGGUAAUACGUAUGGAGCGAGCGUUGUCCGGAAUUAUUGGGCGUAAAGGGUACGCAGGCGGUUUAAUAAGUCGAAUGUUAAAGAUCGGGGCUCAACCCCGUAAAGCAUUGGAAACUGAUAAACUUGAGUAGUGGAGAGGAAAGUGGAAUUCCUAGUGUAGUGGUGAAAUACGUAGAUAUUAGGAGGAAUACCAGUAGCGAAGGCGACUUUCUGGACACAAACUGACGCUGAGGUACGAAAGCGUGGGGAGCAAACAGG